AGCAUAAUCUCGGGAAACUGAGAAUAAUACUCCAUAGAUCUAAGAUGCUGGAAUACACUUAGGUUCAAAGCUCCGGCAGGAUGGGUCUGCGGACUAUCAGGUUGUAGUCAGGGUAAGGACCUGACUAGCCUACAACGGAUACGGGUUGUGAGAGCAAUAACCCGGAAUAUCUGAGACACGAUAUCGGGCCCUACGGGGGCGCAGCAGGCGCGAAACCUUCACAAUGUGCGAAAGUGCGAUGAGGGGAUCCCAAGUGCUUGCACUUAAGUGUAAGCUGUUUCUCUGUUUAAAAUGCAGAGAGAGGAAGGGCUGGGUAAGACGGGUGCCAGCCGCCGCGGUAAUACCUGCAGCUCAAGUGGUGACCGCUAUUAUUGGGCCUAAAACGUUCGUAGCCGGCUGAGUAAAUGCUUGGGUGUGCCGCUUAACGGUACGAAUUCCGGGUAGACUGCUCAGCUUGAGACCGGGAGAAGCUAGAGGUACUCCUGGGGUAGAGGUGAAAUUCUGUAAUCCUGGGGGGGACCACCAGUGGCGAAGGCGUCUAGCUAGAACGGGUCUGACGGUGAGGGACGAAACCCUGGGGCGCAAACCGGAUUUACCCGGGUAGUCCAGGGCGCAAACGCUGCUUGCUUGAUGUUAGCUGGGCUCCGAGCUCAGCUAGUGUCGGAGAGAAGUUGUUAAGCAAGCUGCCUGGGAAGUACGAUCGCAAGAUUGAAACUUAA
This 719-nucleotide ribosomal RNA is filed under the name uncultured archaeon. RNAcentral describes it as "bacterial SSU rRNA". It matches the Rfam family "Archaeal small subunit ribosomal RNA", at positions 123 to 859 of the family's 1478-position model. The record is from RNAcentral.